UACCAUGGAGCUUCCUGUAGCUGGGUUGAUAAUCGCAGCAUGCAUUGCAAUCGUGGCACAUCCUGCCGCAUGCGCGGUGACUAUCCCAUUAGGAAUAGAUGAUGAAUGCCCUGUAAGGUACCCGGUCGGAGUAGGAGAGUGCGCUGCUUUCGGAUUUCCAGUUCCGGCUGGGAAAAGCAAGGCCCUCCCAUUUCCUUGCGUAAUGGUUGAAUGCAGUUCAAGUGGACAGGAAAUUACAGUCCGAGGGUGUCCGAAUAAGCGAGAAGUUUGUGAAAAGCCCUCGAUUCCCGUGAUAGCGGACGCACCAUGGCCGCACUGCUGUAAACUGUGUAAAUCAACUUCGACUAAGCCUGCAGAUAAAUUACCUUAAUCAGGAGCAGAAUACAAAACAGAAAGGUUGCGUCUCGUUAACCCCCCGCUUUUCAUCUCUCUUUCGCUAUCUCUGUCUAAAAUUGUCUGUAAUAUCAGACAUUUUUUACAGCAUGGAAGAAAGGCGAUAUGAUCACUUUUUAGAAUUCU
Molecule: long non-coding RNA, 519 nt
Organism: Dermacentor andersoni
Lineage: Eukaryota; Metazoa; Arthropoda; Arachnida; Ixodida; Ixodidae
Source: RefSeq, a predicted model, not a curated record